UACAGAGGGUGCGAGCGUUGUCCGGAAUCACUGGGCGUAAAGGGCGCGUAGGUGGCGGGCCAAGUCCAUGGUGAAAGCUCGAUGCUCAACAUCGAGUCGGCCACGGAUACUGGUUUGCUGGAGCACUGUAGAGGCAGAUGGAAUUCCGGGUGUAGCGGUGGAAUGCGUAGAGAUCCGGAAGAACACCAGCGGCGAAGGCGGCAUCCUGGACUGGUCCUGACACUCAGGAGCGAAAGCGUGGGGAGCGAUCCGG
RNAcentral lists this ribosomal RNA (253 nucleotides) under uncultured bacterium. Its description in RNAcentral is "partial 16S ribosomal RNA". It matches the Rfam family "Bacterial small subunit ribosomal RNA", at positions 524 to 776 of the family's 1533-position model. The record is from RNAcentral.